GCGAGCAGCAGCAUGAGCACAGCAGGGAAAGUCAUAACGUGCAAAGCCGCGGUGCUGUGGGAGCUGAACAAGCCCUUCUCCAUCGAGGAGGUGGAGGUCGCGCCCCCCAAGGCCCAUGAAGUCCGCAUCAAGAUGGUGGCCACCGGCAUCUGCCGCUCGGACGAGCACGCGGUGAGCGGGUCCUUCCUCACCCCGCUCCCGG
Molecule: long non-coding RNA, 202 nt
Organism: Condylura cristata (star-nosed mole)
Lineage: Eukaryota; Metazoa; Chordata; Mammalia; Eulipotyphla; Talpidae
Exons: 3
Source: RefSeq, a predicted model, not a curated record